This 424-nucleotide ribosomal RNA is filed under the name Verrucomicrobiota bacterium. RNAcentral describes it as "Verrucomicrobia bacterium partial 16S ribosomal RNA". It matches the Rfam family "Bacterial small subunit ribosomal RNA", at positions 355 to 776 of the family's 1533-position model. Lineage: Bacteria; Pseudomonadati; Verrucomicrobiota. The record is from RNAcentral.
UGAGGAAUAUUGGUCAAUGGACGAGAGUCUGAACCAGCCAAGUAGCGUGCAGGAUGACGGCCCUAUGGGUUGUAAACUUCUUUUGUUUGGGAAUAAUCGACAUUACGUGUAAUGUUUUGCAUGUACCAUUCGAAUAAGGACCGGCUAAUUCCGUGCCAGCAGCCGCGGUAAUACGGAAGGUCCAGGCGUUAUCCGGAUUUAUUGGGUUUAAAGGGAGUGUAGGCGGUUGGUUAAGCGUGUCGUGAAAUGUAGAUGCUCAACAUCUGACUUGCAGCGCGAACUGGCUGACUUGAGUACACACAACGUAGGCGGAAUUCAUGGUGUAGCGGUGAAAUGCUUAGAUAUCAUGAAGAACUCCGAUUGCGAAGGCAGCUUACGGGAGCGCAACUGACGCUGAAGCUCGAAGGUGCGGGUAUCGAACAGG